AAGUCGUAACAAGGUUUCCGUAGGUGAACCUGCGGAAGGAUCAUUACAAAUCUGAAUCAUCCACGAUGAGUGUGGAGUGGAGGAGAGAAUGAGAAUUCUCCACCCACACUCCUACUCUAUCGAUAUUAUUACCUAUUGACACUUGUAUAUUAUGUACACUAAACAAGAAUACCUUUUAACAAUGGAUCUCUUGGUUCUU
Molecule: unclassified non-coding RNA, 199 nt
Filed under: Rozellomycota sp.
Lineage: Eukaryota; Fungi; Rozellomycota
Description: Cryptomycota sp. partial contains small subunit ribosomal RNA, internal transcribed spacer 1, and 5.8S ribosomal RNA
Rfam family: Eukaryotic small subunit ribosomal RNA (bases 1-46)
Source: RNAcentral